GAUGAAGCACGUAGUGAAAUGCGAUACGUAAUGUGAAUUGCAGAAUUCAGUGAAUCAUCGAAUCUUUGAACGCAUAUUGCGCUCUCUGGUAUUCCGGAGAGCAUGCUUGUUUGAGUAUCAGUAAACACCUCAACUUCCAUAUCUUUUUUGAAAUGGGAGUUGGACUUGAGUGAUCCCAACGCUUUUCCUCACCGAAAAGUGGCGGGUUACUUGAAAUGCAGGUGCAGCUGGACUUUUCUCUGAGCUAUAAGCAUAUCUAUUUAGUCUGCCUAAAAAACAGAUUAUUACCUUUGCUGCAGCUAACAUAAAGGAGAUUAGUUCUUGUGCUGACUGAUGCAGGAUUCACAAAGACGGCUUCGGCCGACUUUGUAAACUCGAUCUCAAAUCAAGUAAGACUACCCGCUGAACUUAAGCAUAUCAAUAAGCGGAGGA
RNAcentral lists this unclassified non-coding RNA (432 nucleotides) under soil metagenome. RNAcentral's name for it is "partial contains 5.8S ribosomal RNA, internal transcribed spacer 2, and large subunit ribosomal RNA". The stretch from base 1 to 120 matches the Rfam family "5.8S ribosomal RNA", at positions 35 to 154 of the family's 154-position model. The record is from RNAcentral.